GAUGAAGAACGUAGCGAAAUGCGAUAAGUAGUGUGAAUUGCAGAAUUCAGUGAAUCAUCGAAUCUUUGAACGCACAUUGCGCCCUUUGGUAUUCCAAAGGGCAUGCCUGUUCGAGCGUCAUUUGUACCCUCAAGCUUUGCUUGGUGUUGGGCAUCUUGUCUCUAGCUUUGCUGGAGACUCGCCUUAAAGUAAUUGGCAGCCGGCCUACUGGUUUCGGAGCGCAGCACAAGUCGCACUCUCUAUCAGCAAAGGUCUAGCAUCCACUAAGCCUUUUUUUCAACUUUUGACCUCGGAUCAGGUAGGGAUACCCGCUGAACUUAAGCAUAUCAAUAAGCGGAGGA
Molecule: unclassified non-coding RNA, 341 nt
Filed under: soil metagenome
Description: partial contains 5.8S ribosomal RNA, internal transcribed spacer 2, and large subunit ribosomal RNA
Rfam family: 5.8S ribosomal RNA (bases 1-120)
Source: RNAcentral